This 1394-nucleotide long non-coding RNA is filed under the name Capsella rubella. RNAcentral describes it as "long non-coding RNA (CRUB_LNC004286)". Lineage: Eukaryota; Viridiplantae; Streptophyta; Magnoliopsida; Brassicales; Brassicaceae. The record is from RNAcentral.
UAUAUUGUACAUGCUAAAAGAAGAAUGGGUUUAAAAAUGUCAAGCAAUGCUCUUCUUCUAUCUUUGUUUCUUUUACUUCUUUGUCUCUUUUCUGACAUUGGAGGGAGUAAGACAACUCACCGGAUACUAGGUUAUUGCCUUCUUAUAUCAAUUUCUACUCUUAUUUUAAGCUAACAUAUGAAAGUAAUAUAAAUGAUUAAUAUAUUACAAAUAUUACACAUUUUGCAUGCAUAUUUUUUUUUAAUAUUAAUUCAUUAUCUUAUAAAAAUGACUAAUAUAAAUAAAUAACUAUGGGUUAAGUGAGUACUUUAAAGCACUGCCUGAUUAAUAUAAAAAUAAUAAUAAAUACUGCAUGAUUUUAAUUCCUUUGGUAAACACUUUUUCUGCCUUUUUGGUAUUAAUCAAUUAUUUAUUUAUUUUUGGUGAACCAUUAAUCCAUUAUUUGAAAAAAAAUAUUUGAAUGCGCUAUCCUAUAUAGCUUUUUAUUUAUUAAUAUAUAUAUAUAUAUAGUUUUUUGAAGAAUAUGCAAUAUACGUUAAUUUUAAAAAUGUUUUAACUCAAAUCAUAAUGGGAGAAUUUCCAAAAUACCCUUUUCAAAUACCACUUUUUAAAAAUACCCCGUUUUCAAUAUUUAUUAAAAACCCCAUUAAAAAGUUGAAAUUUAUCCAAACAUGUCUGUAAGCUUAUAAAUAUACACACAAAUGACAUUUGUAUGUAUAUAAAAAUUUAUAUAUCUUUCAUAAAUAACAUAAAAAUAACUUAUAAAAACCUUUUAAAAAUCUUUUAAAAACCUUAUAAACCCUUUUAAAAACCUUUUAACAACCUUAUAAAACUUGUAAAGACGAUUUGAAACCUUUUAAAAUAUUAUAAAAUAUUUGGAUCAAAUCUUCUAGUAGGUGUUAUUAUAUAGAAGUACCUUAUAAACCAUAUAAAACUUUAUAAUUUUUUAUAUUUAAAAAGGGGUAUUUUUGAAAAGUGAUACACCAAAAGGGUUAUUUCUCAAAAAUUCUCAAUCAUAAUCUUAAUAUAUAUUAAGUUUAAUAAAAAAAUUGUGCAAAAAUCGUAGGAGUACUUCUUGUAAAGAUUAGUUUCAUUUAUUCAUAAUUAAUAUUUAAUAAAAAAAUCCGCAUCGAUUCUUAGUAGAAGAGCCACUUAGAGAGGUAGCUGCAUCUCCAUCUUGUUCAUGCGGAGCAGGCCAAGGAAAAUCUCCUCCAAAACAACAUCGAAGUCCAUGCCAUCGUCCACGUCCUUGCCCACCUCCACGUGCACGCUAAACCCUACAAAAGAACUAAUAAGAAGAAGGAAAAAAAAGAGAAUUCUGUUUUGGUUGUGGCAAUUUUUAUUUAUAGUUUCUUUAACAAUAUAACUCUUUAAUAAUUAUUACAGAAGAUAAA